GUCUGGAGACACCUCUCCUCACCCUCAUUUAAGGGUUAGCAGCUGGGGGGUGGGGGUAGGAACUCCCUGUAUAGUGGUUGUGCUUCUCUUGGGCUAUUAUGAGUUGUUUGGAAGGGGGCUGCUGAAAUUAUCUGUGCUUUAGACCCUGGAGCCAAAUAAAGGGAAAUAGUUGGGAAGAUACCAUAUUCCGUGGGAAGCAGGGACCACGCUGCUAAACAGCCAGGGGAGGCUCAUGCUUCCCUAAUAUCCAUCACUCCCUGCUUCCAGCGUGGUCACAGACAGAACAACAAAGAGGGUCUCAGAGAAGGUCCAUAGAAUCCUAGAAUCAUUAAGAUUGGAGAAGAUCACUAAGCUCAUCUGAACCAACGAUGAAGCAAAAUAGCAUUAAACAGAGAAGAGAUAAACCAAGUGUUUAGCAUGAGACAUUUGACGCGAUAUCCAGCUCCUCUGUUGUGAGGGUGGUGUCAGGGUUGUAUUGAGAAGAGCUCACAAAGACCUCCAAAACGUCCCUUGAACUCUGUGAAGCAAAUCUGUGUGCUGAAUCAGAGAGAUGGUGUAUGGUAACCACUGAUCUUCCACCAGUACUGCAGCC
Molecule: long non-coding RNA, 592 nt
Organism: Gallus gallus (chicken)
Lineage: Eukaryota; Metazoa; Chordata; Aves; Galliformes; Phasianidae
Source: Ensembl